AUUGCUUCUUGGCCUUUUGGCUAAGAUCAAGUGUAAAAAGUUAAUAUUAGAUAAAUACCUGACACAUACCAAGUAACCAAUAAUAUCUGUCAAGUUAGUGGGUAAGUUGUGUUUGCUAAGGACUGACAUGCCAUAUUUUAGGCAAUAUUGUGCUAGCAGCAUAGCCUGAGUUAAUCCUAU
This is a small nuclear RNA of Oryctolagus cuniculus (rabbit), 180 nucleotides long. Its record names the gene U2. It matches the Rfam family "U2 spliceosomal RNA". Rfam says of the family: U2 is a small nuclear RNA (snRNA) component of the spliceosome (involved in pre-mRNA splicing). Complementary binding between U2 snRNA (in an area lying towards the 5' end but 3' to hairpin I) and the branchpoint sequence (BPS) of the intron results the bulging out of an unpaired adenosine, on the BPS, which initiates a nucleophilic attack at the intronic 5' splice site, thus starting the first of two transesterification reactions that mediate splicing. The record is from Ensembl. Lineage: Eukaryota; Metazoa; Chordata; Mammalia; Lagomorpha; Leporidae.